Molecule: ribosomal RNA, 835 nt
Filed under: Streptomyces hawaiiensis
Lineage: Bacteria; Bacillati; Actinomycetota; Actinomycetes; Kitasatosporales; Streptomycetaceae
Also listed under: 1 other name
Description: bacterial SSU rRNA
Rfam family: Bacterial small subunit ribosomal RNA
Source: RNAcentral
UGAACCACUUCGGUGGGGAUUAGUGGCGAACGGGUGAGUAACACGUGGGCAAUCUGCCCUGCACUCUGGGACAAGCCCUGGAAACGGGGUCUAAUACCGGAUACUGACCACUGGGGGCAUCCUCGGUGGUCGAAAGCUCCGGCGGUGCAGGAUGAGCCCGCGGCCUAUCAGCUUGUUGGUGAGGUAGUGGCUCACCAAGGCGACGACGGGUAGCCGGCCUGAGAGGGCGACCGGCCACACUGGGACUGAGACACGGCCCAGACUCCUACGGGAGGCAGCAGUGGGGAAUAUUGCACAAUGGGCGAAAGCCUGAUGCAGCGACGCCGCGUGAGGGAUGACGGCCUUCGGGUUGUAAACCUCUUUCAGCAGGGAAGAAGCGAAAGUGACGGUACCUGCAGAAGAAGCGCCGGCUAACUACGUGCCAGCAGCCGCGGUAAUACGUAGGGCGCGAGCGUUGUCCGGAAUUAUUGGGCGUAAAGAGCUCGUAGGCGGCUUGUCACGUCGGUUGUGAAAGCCCGGGGCUUAACCCCGGGUCUGCAGUCGAUACGGGCAGGCUAGAGUUCGGUAGGGGAGAUCGGAAUUCCUGGUGUAGCGGUGAAAUGCGCAGAUAUCAGGAGGAACACCGGUGGCGAAGGCGGAUCUCUGGGCCGAUACUGACGCUGAGGAGCGAAAGCGUGGGGGAGCGAACAGGAUUAGAUACCCUGGUAGUCCACGCCGUAAACGGUGGGCACUAGGUGUGGGCAACAUUCCACGUUGUCCGUGCCGCAGCUAACGCAUUAAGUGCCCCGCCUGGGGAGUACGGCGCAGGGCUAAAACUCAAAGGAAUUGACGGGGG